This 253-nucleotide ribosomal RNA is filed under the name uncultured bacterium. RNAcentral describes it as "partial 16S ribosomal RNA". It matches the Rfam family "Bacterial small subunit ribosomal RNA", at positions 524 to 776 of the family's 1533-position model. The record is from RNAcentral.
UACGAAGGGGGCUAGCGUUGUUCGGAAUUACUGGGCGUAAAGCGCGCGCAGGCGGUUCUUCAAGUCAGAGGUGAAAGCCCAGAGCUCAACUCUGGAAUGGCCUUUGAGACUAGAGAACUAGGGUACGGGAGAGGUGAGUGGAAUUCCGAGUGUAGAGGUGAAAUUCGUAGAUAUUCGGAAGAACACCAGUGGCGAAGGCGGCUCACUGGCCCGUUACUGACGCUGAGGCGCGAAAGCGUGGGGAGCAAACAGG